AAAUUUUGAAGCUAUAGGGUCUAAAAACUCUAUAGAGAAAUCGACCAAAUUGGGUGAAGAAUUGGUCGAUUCAUAUCAAUUCACCCAUUCACUAUUGAUUCUUUUGAUUUAGUCAUAGUUGAGGUAUAUUUGCGAUUUACCCCACUGAUUUGAAUCACUAGGAUGCAGAAUCGAAUCGAGAAUAAUAUGAUUCAAGUACAUUUAUGAUUCACUCCAUAUGUUCGAAUCACUAGGAUGGGGAAUCGAAUAUUCGAAUCGAAAAUCAUAAGAUUCUAACAACAGUGCUAGUGACAACCAGCCCCCACCAUAUCAUCAAACAUCUAGUUCUAUUCUGAUGCAAAAGGCAAAAAACAAACAAGCUAGGUAUGACCUAAUUCUUGGUACAUCCCUAUGUAAAUCCUGCAGUAUGGACAAAAUCACUGAAAUGAGCUACUGCAAAAUUUUGCCAUUCUUUGCUUUGAAAACUGCAAAAGCAUAUGAUCAAACACUGAUAAAGCAACACUUAGAUUUAGGAGCAACUUAAUUAAAAGAUUGGAACCCCAUGAAUGUUUAAAGCUUUAACUACUUGAAAAUUUAGUCCAAUAGUAUUGGAAUAGCUUGAUUUUGAAAAUGUAGUCCAAUAUUAUUGGAAUAACUUGAUUUUUGUUCAUCAUUCUUUCCUUAGAUGCUCAUUGGAAAUCUAUAAUGUAAA
RNAcentral lists this unclassified non-coding RNA (691 nucleotides) under Hevea brasiliensis (rubber tree). The record is from RNAcentral. Lineage: Eukaryota; Viridiplantae; Streptophyta; Magnoliopsida; Malpighiales; Euphorbiaceae.